GGCCUUAUGGUGUAAUGGUAACAUCCCUAGUUCUAUAUUAGGAGGUUGUGGGUUCAACUCCCACUAGGGCCC
This 72-nucleotide transfer RNA is filed under the name Pseudogymnoascus sp. VKM F-4519 (FW-2642). It matches the Rfam family "tRNA". Rfam says of the family: Transfer RNA (tRNA) molecules are approximately 80 nucleotides in length. Their secondary structure includes four short double-helical elements and three loops (D, anti-codon, and T loops). Lineage: Eukaryota; Fungi; Ascomycota; Leotiomycetes; Thelebolales; Thelebolaceae. The record is from Rfam by way of RNAcentral.